Molecule: non-coding RNA, 93 nt
Organism: Podarcis lilfordi (Lilford's wall lizard)
Lineage: Eukaryota; Metazoa; Chordata; Lepidosauria; Squamata; Lacertidae
Source: the annotation of a GenBank genome assembly
UCCAGCUGUUUUGGGACUACACUUCCUAUCAUCUCUUGACCACUGGUCCUGUUAUCUAGGGAGGAUAGGCAUUGUAGUCCCAAAAUAGCUGGA